RNAcentral lists this ribosomal RNA (2894 nucleotides) under Clostridioides difficile. RNAcentral's name for it is "bacterial LSU rRNA". It matches the Rfam family "Bacterial large subunit ribosomal RNA". Lineage: Bacteria; Bacillati; Bacillota; Clostridia; Peptostreptococcales; Peptostreptococcaceae. The record is from RNAcentral.
UCAAGUUUAAGGGUGCAGGGCGGAUGCCUUGGCACUAGGAGCCGAUGAAGGACGUGAUAAGCUGCGAUAAGCUUCGGGGAGUUGCACGUAAACUUUGAUCCGAAGAUUUCCGAAUGAGGAAACUCACUUAGAGUAAUGUCUAAGUAUCAUUAAGUGAAUACAUAGCUUAAUGAGGGGAACUCAGGGAACUGAAACAUCUAAGUACCUGAAGGAAGAGAAAGAAAUUCGAUUCCGUAAGUAGCGGCGAGCGAACGCGGAUUAGCCCAAACCAAUAAAGUUUUCUUUAUUGGGGUUGCGGACAUAUCAUAACGAAGAGGUAUCGUAAUUGAAGAGGUUUGGAAAGACCCACCACAGAAGGUAAUAGUCCUGUAUGUUAAACGAGAAGACUUUAGAUAUGAUCCAGAGUACCACGGGACACGUGAAACCCUGUGGGAAGCAGGAGGGACCACCCUCCAAGGCUAAAUACUACCUAGUGACCGAUAGCGUAUAGUACCGUGAGGGAAAGGUGAAAAGAACCCCGGGAGGGGAGUGAAAUAGAACCUGAAACCCUGCACUUACAAGCUGUGGAAGCACAUUUCUUGUGUGACCGCGUACUUUUUGUAGAACGGGCCAACGAGUUACGUUAAGUAGCAAGGUUAAGCACUUAAGGUGUGGAGCCGUAGCGAAAGCGAGUUUUAACUGAGCGUUCAGUUACUUGACGUAGACCCGAAACCGGGCGACCUACCCAUGAGCAGGAUGAAGCGAAAGUAAAAUUUCGUGGAGGUCCGAACCCACGAGCGUUGAAAAGCUCGGGGAUGACUUGUGGGUAGCGGUGAAAUUCCAAUCGAGCCCGGAGAUAGCUGGUUCUCCCCGAAAUAGCUUUAGGGCUAGCCUCAAGGUGAGAGAUACGGAGGUAGAGCACUGAAUGUCCUAGGGGGUAUUGCACCUACCGAAGACUAUCAAACUCCGAAUGCCGUCAUCUUAUACUUGGGAGUCAGACUGUGGGUGAUAAGAUUCAUAGUCGAAAGGGCAACAGCCCAGAUCGUCAGCUAAGGUCCCUAAAUGUAAGUUAAGUGGUAAAGGAUGUGGGAUUGCACAGACAACCAGGAUGUUGGCUUAGAAGCAGCCACUCAUUCAAAGAGUGCGUAAUAGCUCACUGGUCGAGUGAUCCUGCGCCGAAGAUUUCCGGGGCUAAAACUUACUACCGAAGCUACGGCAUCAGUAAUGAUGGGUAGGGGAGCUUCCCAUACGGGUUGAAGCAUGACCGUAAGGACAUGUGGACAGUAUGGGAGUGAGAAUGUUGGCAUGAGUAGCGAGAUGUGGGUGAGAAUCCCACAGGCCGUAAACCCAAGGUUUCCAGGGGAAGGUUCGUCCGCCCUGGGUUAGUCGGGACCUAAGCUGAGGCCGAAAGGCGUAGGUGAUGGACAACAGGUUGAUAUUCCUGUACUACCGAUAACCGUUUGAGAGAAGGGAUGACACAGUAGGAUAAGCUAAGCACACUGUUGGUUAUGUGUGCCCAAGCAUUGAGGCAGUCAAAGUAGGCAAAUCCGCUUUGAUAAUGCUGGGAUGUGAUGGGGAGCGAAAUUUAGUAGCGAAGUAGCUGAUUUCACACUGUCAAGAAAAGUCUCUAUCGAGGUUAAAGGUACCCGUACCGCAAACCGACACAGGUGGGUGAGGAGAGUAUCCUAAGGCCAGCGAGAGAACUGUUGUUAAGGAACUCGGCAAAAUGACCCCGUAACUUAGGGAUAAGGGGUGCCACCAUCAGGUGGCCGCAGAGAAUAGGCCCAAGCGACUGUUUACCAAAAACAUAGGUUUCUGCUAAGUCGCAAGACGAUGUAUAGGAGCUGACGCCUGCCCGGUGCUGGAAGGUUAAGGGGAUCUGUUAGAGCAAUCGAAGCAGUGAACUUAAGCCCCAGUAAACGGCGGCCGUAACUAUAACGGUCCUAAGGUAGCGAAAUUCCUUGUCGGGUAAGUUCCGACCCGCACGAAAGGCGUAACGAUUUGGGCACUGUCUCAACAACAGACUCGGUGAAAUUGUAAUUCCGGUGAAGAUGCCGGAUACCUGCGACAGGACGGAAAGACCCCAUGGAGCUUUACUGUAGCUUGACAUUGGGUCUUGGUACUACAUGUACAGGAUAGGUGGGAGGCUUUGAAACCAGGACGCCAGUUUUGGCGGAGCCAUCCUUGGGAUACCACCCUUGUAGUACUGGGACUCUAACCAUAGGCCAUGAAUCUGGUCUUGGGACACUGUCAGGUGGGCAGUUUGACUGGGGCGGUCGCCUCCCAAAAGGUAACGGAGGCGCUCAAAGGUUCUCUCAGUACGGUCGGAAAUCGUACGUAGAGUGUAAAGGCAAAAGAGAGCUUGAUUGCAAGACAUACAGGUCGAGCAAGGAUGAAAAUCGGACUUAGUGAUCCGGUGGUUCUGCGUGGAAGGGCCAUCGCUCAACGGAUAAAAGCUACCCUGGGGAUAACAGGCUUAUCUCCCCCAAGAGUCCACAUCGACGGGGAGGUUUGGCACCUCGAUGUCGGCUCAUCACAUCCUGGGGCUGUAGUAGGUCCCAAGGGUUGGGCUGUUCGCCCAUUAAAGUGGUACGCGAGCUGGGUUCAGAACGUCGUGAGACAGUUCGGUCCCUAUCCGUCGCAGGCGUAGGAAAUUUGAGAAGACCUGUCCUUAGUACGAGAGGACCGGGAUGGACGUACCUCUGGUGUACCAGUUGUCCUGCCAAGGGCAUGGCUGGGUAGCUAUGUACGGAAUGGAUAAGCGCUGAAAGCAUCUAAGCGCGAAGCCAACUUCAAGAUAAGAUUUCCCACCGCAAGGGUAAGACCCCAGAAAGACUAUCUGGUUGAUAGGUCGAAGGUGUAAGUGCAGCAAUGUAUUUAGCUUAUCGAUACUAAUAGGUCGAGGACUUGACCAA